This 483-nucleotide long non-coding RNA is filed under the name Vitis vinifera (wine grape). RNAcentral describes it as "long non-coding RNA (VVIN_LNC004002)". The record is from RNAcentral. Lineage: Eukaryota; Viridiplantae; Streptophyta; Magnoliopsida; Vitales; Vitaceae.
UCAGCUUCCCAAUUCCCAGGUGACCCACUUCAAUUUCAGUUCCAUUCCACCCUGUUCUCCCAACUCAUCACAAAAUCACAUAAACUAGUUAAAACCGAUGUUGCCAGUGAAGAUCUCGCAAUCCAAAAGCCAAAACCAUAUAUCCAGAAUGAAAUUCACAACAAUUUCACAAACUAUAGAAUAUGAUCACUACCCAUCAAGAAUAAAUCAUAAAUUCCAAUUCAUGAAACACACCCAGAAAAAAAUGCCCUUUGAAAGGAAGAAUUUAAUUUUUACAUAAAAGGAAAGUACAGUUUUUUUUUUCAAAAGACCAUGAAGAUAAUAAAAGCUAAAACGUACCUAUGGUCCCAUGAUGAUGGCAGAGGAACAGAUGUACAGAGAGUCCAAUAUAAUCUGGAAGGAGACAGCUCUAGAAUCCAAAGCCGAGAGCAUAUCCUUGUACUGGGUGGAAAUUUCCUUGACGUUAUAACUUCUUCCAAAAAG